Molecule: long non-coding RNA, 338 nt
Filed under: Gossypium raimondii (Peruvian cotton)
Lineage: Eukaryota; Viridiplantae; Streptophyta; Magnoliopsida; Malvales; Malvaceae
Description: long non-coding RNA (GRAI_LNC000618)
Source: RNAcentral
AAUCAGUUAUCUAAAACUUACCAAACAAUGGUAGACAAACGUGGAGCGACACGAGGCAGAAUGGGAAUAGUAAGUUCAAGAAGAUGAAGGGUGAAAGAAAGAAGAAAUUUGACAGCAAUGAAGAGAAAAACUGCAAGAGGGUGGAGGGAUUUUUGGGAAAAGUAAAAAAAAGGAAAAAAAAAAGAUGAACAGAAUAUUUGAUAGCCACCCCAAUCCCUUAUUUCUCUCCAUCAAACUCCCCACUAAAUCCACUACUCAAAUUUUUAGUACAUCUCAAACUCUCCUGGAUGCACGAGAAAAAAUAAUGCCCACGCUAAGAUUCAAACACAGGACCUCCU